This 1000-nucleotide ribosomal RNA is filed under the name Enterococcus faecium. Its description in RNAcentral is "bacterial SSU rRNA". It matches the Rfam family "Bacterial small subunit ribosomal RNA", at positions 30 to 1004 of the family's 1533-position model. The record is from RNAcentral. Lineage: Bacteria; Bacillati; Bacillota; Bacilli; Lactobacillales; Enterococcaceae.
CAAGUGCGGGCGUGGCUAUACAUGCAAGUCGAACGCUUCUUUUUCCACCGGAGCUUGCUCCACCGGAAAAAGAGGAGUGGCGAACGGGUGAGUAACACGUGGGUAACCUGCCCAUCAGAAGGGGAUAACACUUGGAAACAGGUGCUAAUACCGUAUAACAAUCAAAACCGCAUGGUUUUGAUUUGAAAGGCGCUUUCGGGUGUCGCUGAUGGAUGGACCCGCGGUGCAUUAGCUAGUUGGUGAGGUAACGGCUCACCAAGGCCACGAUGCAUAGCCGACCUGAGAGGGUGAUCGGCCACAUUGGGACUGAGACACGGCCCAAACUCCUACGGGAGGCAGCAGUAGGGAAUCUUCGGCAAUGGACGAAAGUCUGACCGAGCAACGCCGCGUGAGUGAAGAAGGUUUUCGGAUCGUAAAACUCUGUUGUUAGAGAAGAACAAGGAUGAGAGUAACUGUUCAUCCCUUGACGGUAUCUAACCAGAAAGCCACGGCUAACUACGUGCCAGCAGCCGCGGUAAUACGUAGGUGGCAAGCGUUGUCCGGAUUUAUUGGGCGUAAAGCGAGCGCAGGCGGUUUCUUAAGUCUGAUGUGAAAGCCCCCGGCUCAACCGGGGAGGGUCAUUGGAAACUGGGAGACUUGAGUGCAGAAGAGGAGAGUGGAAUUCCAUGUGUAGCGGUGAAAUGCGUAGAUAUAUGGAGGAACACCAGUGGCGAAGGCGGCUCUCUGGUCUGUAACUGACGCUGAGGCUCGAAAGCGUGGGGAGCAAACAGGAUUAGAUACCCUGGUAGUCCACGCCGUAAACGAUGAGUGCUAAGCGUUGGAGGGUUUCCGCCCUUCAGUGCUGCAGCUAACGCAUUAAGCACUCCGCCUGGGGAGUACGACCGCAAGGUUGAAACUCAAACGAAUUGACGGGGGCCCGCACAAGCGGCGGAGCAUGUGGUUUAAUUCGAAGCAUCGCGAAGAACCCUACCACGUCUUGACAUCCUUUGACCACUCCCUA